This 366-nucleotide ribosomal RNA is filed under the name Triticum aestivum (bread wheat). RNAcentral's name for it is "partial small subunit ribosomal RNA". Lineage: Eukaryota; Viridiplantae; Streptophyta; Magnoliopsida; Poales; Poaceae. The record is from RNAcentral.
AUGGGUUUGGCAAGAGCGCCUUCUCCUUUUCUUGUUUUGAGUGGGCCACGUCUUGUUGGGUUUUUAUUGGGGAGGGAGAAUAAUAAGAAGACAGAGAAGCAGGCACUCACGCAACCCUCUCUCACCGCCGUCUCAUCUCCUCCGCGGCUCCGCCGCCUUCGCCUCCCCUCCCCUCCCACCUCAGCGCCGCUGCCUCUGUCUGCUCCGCCUCGCUCUCCUCCGUCCCUUCACGCGCCACGCCGCCUCCACAGGGUCCAGCCUCCACCGGAGCCGAUCUCUCCGCUGAGCACGCCCCGCGCCGCCGUUGCUGCCAAGGGCUCCUCGGGGCCGUUGCAGCCGGGGAGGCGGCCUGCAGGAGGGCCCUAA